Molecule: ribosomal RNA, 253 nt
Filed under: uncultured bacterium
Lineage: Bacteria
Description: partial 16S ribosomal RNA
Rfam family: Bacterial small subunit ribosomal RNA
Source: RNAcentral
AACGUAGGUGGCGAGCGUUAUCCGGAUUUACUGGGCGUAAAGGGUGUGCAGGCGGGCUGUUAAGUGGUGCAUGAAAUCUCCGCGCUUAACGUGGAGAGGCUGUGCCAGACUGGCAGUCUAGAGUACGAGAGAGGGUUGUGGAAUUCCGGGUGUAGUGGUGAAAUGCGUAGAGAUCCGGAGGAACACCAGAGGCGAAGGCGGCAACCUGGCUCGUUACUGACGCUCAUACACGACAGCAUGGGGAGCGAACGGG